UUGCUUCAGCAGCACAUAUACUAGAAUUGGAAUGAUACAGAGAUUAGCAUAGCUCCUGCACAAGAAUUACACACAAAUUUGUGAAGUGUUCCAUAUUUUU
This 100-nucleotide small nuclear RNA is filed under the name Physeter macrocephalus (sperm whale). Lineage: Eukaryota; Metazoa; Chordata; Mammalia; Artiodactyla; Physeteridae. The record is from RNAcentral.